AACGAACGCUGGCGGCGGGGUUUAGGCAUGCAAGUCGAGCGAGAAAAGCGCAAGCUGAGUACAGCGGCGUAAGGGUGAGUAAUAGGUAGUCAACGUACCGGGCAGACGCGAAUAAUUUCCCGAAAGGGAUUGUAUGCGCGAUGAGAUCGACGGGCACCACGGUGCAUGGGAUCAAAGGUCGGGGAUCCUUCGGGACCUGGCGCUGUCUGAGCGGACUACCUCUGAUUAGCUAGUUGGCGGGGUAAC
Molecule: ribosomal RNA, 246 nt
Filed under: uncultured bacterium
Lineage: Bacteria
Description: partial 16S ribosomal RNA
Rfam family: Bacterial small subunit ribosomal RNA
Source: RNAcentral